AGUGGGGGAUAACGCCGCGAAAGCGGCGCUAAUACCGCAUAUUCUGUGCGCAGGAAAGUGGGGGACUCGCAAGGGCCUCACGCUUUCGGAGCGGCCGAUGUCCGAUUAGCUAGUUGGUAGGGUAACGGCUUACCAAGGCGACGAUCGGUAGCUGGUCUGAGAGGAUGAUCAGCCACACUGGGACUGAGACACGGCCCAGACUCCUACGGGAGGCAGCAGUGGGGAAUUUUGGACAAUGGGGGCAACCCUGAUCCAGCCAUGCCGCGUGCGGGAAGAAGGCCUUCGGGUUGUAAACCGCUUUUAGCCGGGAAGAAAAGGCGACUCUUAAUACGGGUCGUUCUUGACGGUACCGGCGGAAUAAGCACCGGCUAACUACGUGCCAGCAGCCGCGGUAAUACGUAGGGUGCGAGCGUUAAUCGGAAUUACUGGGCGUAAAGCGUGCGCAGGCGGUUCGUUAAGUUCGUUGUGAAAGCCCCGGGCUCAACCUGGGAAUGGCAAUGGAAACUGGCGGGCUUGAAUGCGGCAGAGGGGGGUGGAAUUCCG
RNAcentral lists this ribosomal RNA (543 nucleotides) under uncultured bacterium. RNAcentral describes it as "bacterial SSU rRNA". It matches the Rfam family "Bacterial small subunit ribosomal RNA", at positions 135 to 671 of the family's 1533-position model. The record is from RNAcentral.